This 265-nucleotide ribosomal RNA is filed under the name uncultured prokaryote. RNAcentral's name for it is "partial 16S ribosomal RNA". It matches the Rfam family "Bacterial small subunit ribosomal RNA", at positions 524 to 788 of the family's 1533-position model. The record is from RNAcentral.
UACGUAGGGUCCGAGCGUUGUCCGGAAUUAUUGGGCGUAAAGAGCUUGUAGGCGGUUUGUCGCGUCUGCUGUGAAAAUCCGGGGCUCAACCCCGGACUUGCAGUGGGUACGGGCAGACUAGAGUGUGGUAGGGGAGACUGGAAUUCCUGGUGUAGCGGUGAAAUGCGCAGAUAUCAGGAGGAACACCGAUGGCGAAGGCAGGUCUCUGGGCCACUACUGACGCUGAGAAGCGAAAGCAUGGGGAGCGAACAGGAUUAGAUACCCU